UCCGUCUUACGACGGCAGUUUCGUUAGAGUGAUACAACUAACGAUAAGGGUUGCGCUCGUUAACCCACUUAAGGGUACGCCUCACGGUACGAGCUGACAACAGCCAUGCAACACCUGUUCAAGCUUCAUCUUGCGACGAUCGUUGGCCUUUCGGCUUCCUACUACUUGUAUGUCAAACCCUGGUAAGGUUCUUGGGUUAUCAGCCAAUUAAAGAGCAUGCUCCACCGCUUGUGCGGGUCCCCGCCAAUUCCUUUGAGUUUUAGCCUUGCGGCCGUACUCCCCAGGCGGUCCGCUUAACGCGUUAGCUUCGACACCCACAUAAGCAGGCAUCUAGCGGACAUUGUUUACGGCGUGGACUA
This 359-nucleotide unclassified non-coding RNA is filed under the name uncultured bacterium. RNAcentral describes it as "contains 16S-23S intergenic spacer region". The record is from RNAcentral.